RNAcentral lists this long non-coding RNA (218 nucleotides) under Vigna radiata. RNAcentral describes it as "long non-coding RNA (VRAD_LNC006287)". Lineage: Eukaryota; Viridiplantae; Streptophyta; Magnoliopsida; Fabales; Fabaceae. The record is from RNAcentral.
CCCUCUCCUGCAAUCUUCCAAUUACCACUUUGAACAAUCCUCAAAGUGCACCAGACUCCACGAGUCUAUCCCCUGAAAUCACAACAGGUCCAAUACAACAACUCCACGAAUGCCAAACAGAAUCUUGAUCAAACCAAAAACACCUUCAAUGUGCAGAAUGUGAUCAAGCAAUGUGUGCGCAGUCAGUCUCCCUUUGAAUCUCUUUCAAGAAAGAUCAC